This 504-nucleotide ribosomal RNA is filed under the name Rossellomorea vietnamensis. RNAcentral's name for it is "bacterial SSU rRNA". It matches the Rfam family "Bacterial small subunit ribosomal RNA", at positions 1 to 488 of the family's 1533-position model. The record is from RNAcentral. Lineage: Bacteria; Bacillati; Bacillota; Bacilli; Caryophanales; Bacillaceae.
UAUCGGAGAGUUUGAUCCUGGCUCAGGACGAACGCUGGCGGCGUGCCUAAUACAUGCAAGUCGAGCGGACUGAUGGGAGCUUGCUCCCUGAAGUCAGCGGCGGACGGGUGAGUAACACGUGGGUAACCUGCCUGUAAGACUGGGAUAACUCCGGGAAACCGGGGCUAAUACCGGAUAGUUCUUUUCCUCGCAUGAGGAAAAGUGGAAAGGCGGCUUCGGCUGCCRCUUACAGAUGGACCCGCGGCGCAUUAGCUAGUUGGUGAGGUAACGGCUCACCAAGGCAACGAUGCGUAGCCGACCUGAGAGGGUGAUCGGCCACACUGGGACUGAGACACGGCCCAGACUCCUACGGGAGGCAGCAGUAGGGAAUCUUCCGCAAUGGACGAAAGUCUGACGGAGCAACGCCGCGUGAGUGAUGAAGGUUUUCGGAUCGUAAAGCUCUGUUGUUAGGGAAGAACAAGUGCCGUUCGAAUAGGGCGGCACCUUGACGGUACCUAACCAGAA